Molecule: ribosomal RNA, 253 nt
Filed under: uncultured bacterium
Lineage: Bacteria
Description: partial 16S ribosomal RNA
Rfam family: Bacterial small subunit ribosomal RNA
Source: RNAcentral
UACGGGGGGGGCAAGCGUUGUUCGGAAUUACUGGGCGUAAAGGGCUCGUAGGUGGUCAACUAAGUCGGACGUGAAAUCCCUCGGCUUAACCGGGGAACUGCGUCCGAUACUGGAUGACUUGAGUUCGGGAGAGGGAUGCGGAAUUCCAGGUGUAGCGGUGAAAUGCGUAGAUAUCAGGAGGAACACCUGUGGCGAAAGCGGCUCACUGGACCAUAACUGACGCUGAUGCACGAAAGCUAGGGGAGCAAACAGG